This 228-nucleotide ribosomal RNA is filed under the name uncultured bacterium. RNAcentral describes it as "partial 16S ribosomal RNA". It matches the Rfam family "Bacterial small subunit ribosomal RNA", at positions 568 to 795 of the family's 1533-position model. The record is from RNAcentral.
UACGUAGGCGGAAAAUUAAGUCAGUAGUGAAAUCCUGCAGCUUAACUGUAGAACUGUUAUUGAUACUGGUUUUCUUGAAUAUAGUUGAGGUAGGCGGAAUGUGUAAUGUAGCGGUGAAAUGCUUAGAUAUUGCACAGAACACCGAUUGCGAAGGCAGCUUACUAAGCUAUGAUUGACGCUGAGGUACGAAAGCGUGGGGAGCGAACAGGAUUAGAUACCCUGGUAGUC